This 78-nucleotide small nucleolar RNA is filed under the name Mus pahari (shrew mouse). RNAcentral's name for it is "snoRNA (MGP_PahariEiJ_G0034177.1)". The record is from RNAcentral. Lineage: Eukaryota; Metazoa; Chordata; Mammalia; Rodentia; Muridae.
GUCCAUGAUGAUAAAGACAUCUUUACAGGUAAGUCAGCAGAGUGACUGAGCACUGCUGUCGGUCACCUUCAAACAAGC